GUGGACGUAGCUGAGUGGUAGAGUGCUUGCCUAGCAUGCUUGAGGCCCUGGGUUCAAUCCCCGGUACCAACA
Molecule: transfer RNA, 72 nt
Filed under: Heterocephalus glaber (naked mole-rat)
Lineage: Eukaryota; Metazoa; Chordata; Mammalia; Rodentia; Bathyergidae
Rfam family: tRNA
About the family: Transfer RNA (tRNA) molecules are approximately 80 nucleotides in length. Their secondary structure includes four short double-helical elements and three loops (D, anti-codon, and T loops).
Source: Rfam by way of RNAcentral